RNAcentral lists this ribosomal RNA (620 nucleotides) under uncultured bacterium. RNAcentral describes it as "bacterial SSU rRNA". It matches the Rfam family "Bacterial small subunit ribosomal RNA", at positions 147 to 765 of the family's 1533-position model. The record is from RNAcentral.
CCUUUCGAAAGAAAGAUUAAUACCUGAUGGUAUGAUGAGAUUGCAUGAUAGCAUCAUUAAAGAUUCAUCGGUGUACGAUGGGGAUGCGUUCCAUUAGGUAGUAGGCGGGGUAACGGCCCACCUAGCCUACGAUGGAUAGGGGUUCUGAGAGGAAGGUCCCCCACAUUGGAACUGAGACACGGUCCAAACUCCUACGGGAGGCAGCAGUGAGGAAUAUUGGUCAAUGGACGAGAGUCUGAACCAGCCAAGUAGCGUGAAGGAUGAAGGUCCUACGGAUUGUAAACUUCUUUUAUAAGGGAAUAAAACCUCCCACGUGUGGGAGCUUGUAUGUACCUUAUGAAUAAGCAUCGGCUAACUCCGUGCCAGCAGCCGCGGUAAUACGGAGGAUGCGAGCGUUAUCCGGAUUUAUUGGGUUUAAAGGGAGCGCAGACGGGUCGUUAAGUCAGCUGUGAAAGUUUGGGGCUCAACCUUAAAAUUGCAGUUGAUACUGGCGUCCUUGAGUGCGGUUGAGGUGUGCGGAAUUCGUGGUGUAGCGGUGAAAUGCUUAGAUAUCACGAAGAACUCCGAUUGCGAAGGCAGCUCACUGGAGUGUAACUGACGCUGAUGCUCGAAAGUGUGGG